Molecule: ribosomal RNA, 376 nt
Filed under: Ciliophora sp.
Lineage: Eukaryota; Ciliophora
Description: SSU rRNA
Rfam family: Eukaryotic small subunit ribosomal RNA
Source: RNAcentral
AGCUCCAAUAGCGUAUAUUAAAGUUGUUGCAGUUAAAAAGCUCGUAGUUGGAUUUCUGGGAGGGUGGCGAUGUCCGCUUAACGUGUGUGCAGCGGCGCCCUUCCAUCCUUCUGUUAGCGUCUCUUGGCAUUCAUUUGCUGGUGGCGGGCUCAGAUAUUUUACCUUGAGAAAAUUAGAGUGUUUCAGGCAGGCUAGGCCGGAAUACAUUAGCAUGGAAUAAUGGAAUAGGACUACGGUCUCUUUGUUGGUUUGAGGGACUGCAGUAAUGAUUAAUAGGGAUAGUUGGGGGCAUUAGUAUUUAAUUGUCAGAGGUGAAAUUCUCAGAUUUGUUAAAGACUAACUUAUGCGAAAGCAUUUGCCAAGGAUGUUUUCAUUA